GUUGGUGUUGAUGACGCUGAGGGUCCACCUGUUCCCAUACCGAACACAGAAGUUAAGCUCAGUGGUGCCGAAAAUACUUGGCUGGUGACGGCCCGGGAAAAUAGGGAGAUGCCAACA
RNAcentral lists this ribosomal RNA (117 nucleotides) under Ruminococcus sp. Lineage: Bacteria; Bacillati; Bacillota; Clostridia; Eubacteriales; Oscillospiraceae. The record is from RNAcentral.